CCUACGGGUGGCUGCAGUGGGGAAUAUUGCACAAUGGGGGAAACCCUGAUGCAGCGACGCCGCGUGAGUGAAGAAGCGUUUCGGCGCGUAAAGCUCUGUCAGCGGGGAAGAAACACGGUUCGCGAGAGCCGCGGCCGGUACCCGACCACGAAGCCCCGGCUAACUACGUGCCAGCAGCCGCGGUACUACGUAGGGGGCAAGCGUUAUCCGGAUUUAUUGGGUUUAAAGGGUGCGUAGGCUGUCGGAUAAGUUAGAGGUCAAAUGUCGGGGCUUAACCCCGUGCCUGCUUCUGAUACUGUUCGACUAGAGAGCGGAUGCAGCAGGCGGAAUGAGUAGUGUAGCGGUGAAAUGCUUAGAUAUUACUCAGAACACCGAUUGCGCAGGCAGCUUGCUAAGCCGCAUCUGACGCUGAUGCACGAAAGCGUGGGUAGCGAACAGGAUUAGAUACCCCAGUAGUC
Molecule: ribosomal RNA, 458 nt
Filed under: uncultured bacterium
Lineage: Bacteria
Description: partial 16S ribosomal RNA
Rfam family: Bacterial small subunit ribosomal RNA
Source: RNAcentral